ACCUCCUUCUCCUUCUUCUUCCUGCGUUUCCUUGGACGAUUUCAGAAAUUGUUGGUAGCGAUGAUCGAGAGGUCGAAUGUCUUCCGUGGAUCUUCCUUUCGAUUCCUACGAUGAUUCUCUCUCUUCGGUGGAUCUUCUUGUGAGUUUCUUGAUGUAUCCUCUUGAAUAUGUACUAUGAUUCUUGCUUUCAGCUGUGUUCUCUCUCUCUUCUCUUCGGUGGAUCUUUCUUUGGCUUCGGAGGCUAUUUCGAUUCCGGGAGGAACGAUGAUUUCCCAUUUUUCCCCUUUCCUUUCGGCUUCUUCUUCUUCUUCCCCUGAUUCAUUAUGUUUCUUCUCUGCGUCUUCGUCGCUCCAUUGAUCCUCUUUCUCCCUCUCUCUAUUACGGGUUCAGCAAGCGUCGGCUUUACCCAGGUUUUCAAAAACCAGAAGCCUGGAUUUCCCACUAGUUUAUCUUACCACUUGGUUUUGUUCUGUAUCUGCUCAUGGUGAAACCCUAGAAUCGGAGCCAGUGUUUCAAUUCUUCACCUGGAGAGUGUUUCCUUUCCGGAAAUUUUAUCCCGUGGGUUGGGAAUGGAAUCUGAUGAACUGGGUCGAUCGCUUAUUUUGAUUUUAUCGGCUUAGAUCUCGAAAGUUUCUUGCUUGAUAUUCUAGCAUUAGGAUUGGUGAUUCAGAAGACAUAAGUGACCGGGAAAACCAUAAGGUUGAAAGUGAGGGUGAAGAUUAUGAGUAUGGGCUAGAGGAUUACAUAACUGAAGAAGAAGAUGAUGAAAAGGAUAGCGAGGAAGAUGAAGAAGGGAAUGACACAAUAAGAUUGUUAUUUGGCAUUUUUCUGGUGAGCAACUUGAAGAUCACUGAAGUUUCAAUAUGCUGAUGGUGGAAAGAAAUGCUUCCAGGAGCCUGUCAAGUUUCAAUAGUGAAAAUAUCUGAAAAUUGGUUUUGAAGAAUAUCUUCUUUCCGAGAUAAGGCAGUGGACAACGGGUGCAGCUGUUAUUAAAGGAAAGCUCCAUGCCUUCAACCAGGUGCCUGGAGAAGUAACACAGGUGCCUGUCGGAAUUCUUCGAGACGGUCGGCCCAGCAUAGAAGCGUGGUGCAGAUGCACAGUGAUGAAGAUGAAUAACACGACAAUAAUGUCGACGACGCACAAGGCGCAGUGGUUUAGCGGCUAUGCCGAAAAAAAAGUGGCUCAAAUGCGCGCGGCUAAAGCCAAAAAAAGAAAAAGAAGGUGGCGCAAAUGCGUGGACCGACGAUCGAAGUGUUCCAAUCGAAGAGGCUAAACGCUGGGUUUAGAAGAGAUCCUUACGACGUUUAGUCGUACAGGUUUUGAUACCAUAAUAGAUAAAGAGAUGAAGAAUCAUUGGAUUUUUCAUUAUUCAACAUGGAACAUUACAACAUUUAUAAUAGAAAACGAAAUAUAAUGGAGCAGUCAUACAUUCUUAAAAGGAUAAGAUGAACAUACAUUUGAUUAUAGUCGCUCGUUCCAAUAUGAAUACUUCACAUCCUCGAGUUUUCCAGUUUUAUGAAGCUCCUUGUGACAGCCUAGGAUACCGUAGGAGGACGAGGAGUGAUUGCCGGUGCGAGAGGCAUGGACAAUGGGCGGCUCCUGACGAGCUUCUGGGUAGGGGGUACAGAGAUGAAUCAGACGCACCGGAAUGAGAGGGAUUCGAGGGUUGUGUACGUAUGAGACUACACAAUCAAAGAUAACUUAAAGGAAUUGAUUGAGUUACUCAUAACAACAAGAUGCAUCUAACUUUUCGGUUAACCAUCUCGACAGAACUCCAAAGUUAAGCGUGCUAGUUUUGGAGUAGUCUUAGGAUGGGUGACCUCCUGGGAAAUACUUUCCAGGAUGUGUGCGAGUGAGGAUGAAACAUGCUAAAAGGUCUCAUGUUGGUGUAUGGGGACAGCUCUAUCACCAUAUCGGUCUCAGGUCAUUACAAAUGGUAUCAAAGCCGGUUCUCUUCCAGUACGGUGUGGUUCGAGGACGAAUCAGGCGGAAGCUGGUGGGUCUGUGACAACCAGGAUACCAUAUGAGGGCGGGGAGUGAUCGCUGGUGCGAGAAGCAUGGACAAUGGGCGGCUCCUGACGAACUUCUAGAUAGGGGUACAAGGAUGAAUCGGACGCACCAGAAUGAGAGGGAUUCGAUGACUGUGUAGGUAUGAGACUACACAGUCAAAGAUAACUUAAAAAAAUUGAUUGAGUUACUCAUAACAACAAGAUGCAUCUACCUUUUCGGUUAACCAUCUCGAGAGAACUCCAAAAUUAAGCGUGCUAGCUUUGAAGUAGUCUUAGGAUGGGUGACCUCCUGGGAAGUAUUUUCUGGGAUGUGUGCGAGUGAGGACAAAACACGCUAAAAAGUCUCGUGUUGGUGUGUGAGGACAACUCUAUCAUUCCGUCGCGGCCUCGGGUCGUUACACUCCUCAAUGAAAGUAUCCAUACCCACGCCCUUUUCAAAUCAAAACUAAAGAAGUCAUUUUACAAUAUAUAGAUAUAGCAAUUCAUUGAGGAAAAACUUAUAUCAUCUAUGAUGCCUAAAUCAUCUAUGUUACCUAGUCUGUCUAACGGGUAACCCACGACUAAGGCGGAUAUAGAAAACUUAGAAAUCUGCAUAAAAAUAUAGACAUAUGUUAGUAAUGGUAUAUAAAACCAUAUAGAGCUUAUCAGUGGAUCGAGUCGGUUCGAUUCAGAUAAAUAACUAAUAGGUUUUGAUUAUCCGAUUAAACCGAUUGAAAUUUAAAAAUUAGGGUUUGCUACCUAAGUCUUCUCUCUUCUCUGUCGACACGAUACAUUGGACAUUGGUGCCCCUAUGUCACAGGGUUAGAUUCGAGAUAUGAAUCUUUCCGUGCGGCAGUCUAGUCUCGGUGUGGAAAAAAGAAGUUUCGGGCAAACUGGGUUACACUUGAAAACUCCGGGAGAUUAGACUAAUUCUUUGGUUCCUUAAGGAACGAAUGAUGAGAACGAGAAAGAGAUGGGUGAAGCCUGCAACAACAAAUUUAUUGAUAAGGGUAAAAGAUACAAUGGCCGACGGCGGUUCGGUACAAGGAGGACAACACGACGACGAUUUGAAAGCCGAGGCGUGUAACCGGAAAGGAGAACGAACCGACAACGUAAGAACAAAGUUCGGAACUUAGAGAGAGAAUUGGGGAAAAAACAAGAUUCUCUCUCAACAAAUGACUAGCCUAUUUAUAGAAGAGACUUAACAAUCUCUUGGUGGAGAGUUCACAAAAUUCGGCCCCUAAUUAACUCCACAUGUACCUAUUUUUCGGGAGUAAAAACAGGAAAAGUGGGAAGACUCCUUCCAUUGUCUCCCUUAGUGCCACGAUUUAAGGAAGGGUGUUGGGAAUAUUCUUCUACACUCAUUUCUCAGUGUCAAAAAACCGAAAGAGAAUGUCAGGAUAUCCCUUAGACCAAAUACAAUGAACCUAGACAAACUAAAUGGGCUUUGGCCCGAGCCCAAACCAUGGAGAAUGGUCGGAACGUCCAAGAACUCAUCUUCGACCAUGUCCGCCAAACGAUAAGUCUAGGGACUUAGCAAAUUUUGGUUUUGGUUUGUCCAUGGCCGCGAUCUGGAACUCUCCGGAUCAUGUGAGGAAUGUUCAGGAGUCCGUCCUUGGUCUGUGUCCCGCUUGGAAAUAAGAUAGAGUCUUUCGGCUGUG
This is an RNA transcript of Tarenaya hassleriana, 3649 nucleotides long. RefSeq lists it as uncharacterized. The transcript has 7 exons. NCBI's taxonomy places the organism in Eukaryota, Viridiplantae, Streptophyta, Magnoliopsida, Brassicales, Cleomaceae. The record is from RefSeq and is a predicted model, not a curated record.